RNAcentral lists this ribosomal RNA (253 nucleotides) under uncultured bacterium. Its description in RNAcentral is "partial 16S ribosomal RNA". It matches the Rfam family "Bacterial small subunit ribosomal RNA", at positions 524 to 776 of the family's 1533-position model. The record is from RNAcentral.
GACGUAGGAUGCAAGCGUUGUCCGGAUUUAUUGGGCGUAAAGAGUUCGUAGGCGGUAUAUCAAGUCUGGUGUUAAAGCCCGAUGCUCAACAUCGGUUCGGCACUGGAUACUGGUAAGCUAGAGUGCAGUAGAGGCAAGGGGAAUUCCCAGUGUAGCGGUGAAAUGCGUAGAUAUUGGGAGGAACACCAGUGGCGUAAGCGCCUUGCUGGGCUGUUACUGACGCUGAGGAACGAAAGCCAGGGGAGCAAAUGGG